GGGUUGUGAGGUUAAGCGACUAAGCGUACACGGUGGAUGCCCUGGCAGUCAGAGGCGAUGAAGGACGUGCUAAUCUGCGAUAAGCGUCGGUAAGGUGAUAUGAACCAAUCCAUAGGUUAAUGAGGCGAACCGGGGGAACUGAAACAUCUAAGUACCCCGAGGAAAAGAAAUCAACCGAGAUUCCCCCAGUAGCGGCGAGCGAACGGGGAGSAGCCCAGAGCCUGAAUCAGUGUGUGUGUUAGUGGAAGCGUCUGGAAAGGCGYGCGAUACAGGGUGACAGCCCCGUACACAAAAAUGCACAURCUGUGAGCUCGAUGAGUAGGGCGGGACACGUGGUAUCCUGUCUGAAUAUGGGGGGACCAUCCUCCAAGGCUAAAUACUCCUGACUGACCGAUAGUGAACCAGUACCGUGAGGGAAAGGCGAAAAGAACCCCGGCGAGGGGAGUGAAAAAGAACCUGAAACCGUGUACGUACAAGCAGUGGGAGCACGCUUAGGCGUGUGACUGCGUACCUUUUGUAUAAUGGGUCAGCGACUUAUAUUCUGUAGCAAGGUUAACCGAAUAGGGGAGCCGAAGGGAAACCGAGUCUUAACUGGGCGUUAAGUUGCAGGGUAUAGACCCGAAACCCGGUGAUCUAGCCAUGGGCAGGUUGAAGGUUGGGUAACACUAACUGGAGGACCGAACCGACUAAUGUUGAAAAAUUAGCGGAUGACUUGUGGCUGGGGGUGAAAGGCCAAUCAAACCGGGAGAUAGCUGGUUCUCCCCGAAAGCUAUUUAGGUAGCGCCUCGUGAAYUCAUCUCCGGGGGUAGAGCACUGUUUCGGCAAGGGGGUCAUCCCGACUUACCAACCCGAUGCAAACUGCGAAUACCGGAGAAUGUUAUCACGGGAGACACACGGCGGGUGCUAACGUCCGUCGUGAAGAGGGAAACAACCCAGACCGCCAGCUAAGGUCCCAAAGUCAUGGUUAAGUGGGAAACGAUGUGGGAAGGCCCAGACAGCCAGGAUGUUGGCUUAGAAGCAGCCAUCAUUUAAAGAAAGCGUAAUAGCUCACUGGUCGAGUCGGCCUGCGCGGAAGAUGUAACGGGGCUAAACCAUGCACCGAAGCUGCGGCAGCGACGCUUAUGCGUUGUUGGGUAGGGGAGCGUUCUGUAAGCCUGUGAAGGUGUGCUGUGAGGCAUGCUGGAGGUAUCAGAAGUGCGAAUGCUGACAUAAGUAACGAUAAAGCGGGUGAAAAGCCCGCUCGCCGGAAGACCAAGGGUUCCUGUCCAACGUUAAUCGGGGCAGGGUGAGUCGACCCCUAAGGCGAGGCCGAAAGGCGUAGUCGAUGGGAAACAGGUUAAUAUUCCUGUACUUGGUGUUACUGCGAAGGGGGGACGGAGAAGGCUAUGUUGGCCGGGCGACGGUUGUCCCGGUUUAAGCGUGUAGGCUGGUUUUCCAGGCAAAUCCGGAAAAUCAAGGCUGAGGCGUGAUGACGAGGCACUACGGUGCUGAAGCAACAAAUGCCCUGCUUCCAGGAAAAGCCUCUAAGCAUCAGGUAACAUCAAAUCGUACCCCAAACCGACACAGGUGGUCAGGUAGAGAAUACCAAGGCGCUUGAGAGAACUCGGGUGAAGGAACUAGGCAAAAUGGUGCCGUAACUUCGGGAGAAGGCACGCUGAUAUGUAGGUGAAGUCCCUCGCGGAUGGAGCUGAAAUCAGUCGAAGAUACCAGCUGGCUGCAACUGUUUAUUAAAAACACAGCACUGUGCAAACACGAAAGUGGACGUAUACGGUGUGACGCCUGCCCGGUGCCGGAAGGUUAAUUGAUGGGGUYAGCGCAAGCGAAGCUCUUGAUCGAAGCCCCGGUAAACGGCGGCCGUAACUAUAACGGUCCUAAGGUAGCGAAAUUCCUUGUCGGGUAAGUUCCGACCUGCACGAAUGGCGUAAUGAUGGCCAGGCUGUCUCCACCCGAGACUCAGUGAAAUUGAACUCGCUGUGAAGAUGCAGUGUACCCGCGGCAAGACGGAAAGACCCCGUGAACCUUUACUAUAGCUUGACACUGAACAUUGAGCCUUGAUGUGUAGGAUAGGUGGGAGGCUUWGAAGUGUGGACGCCAGUCUGCAUGGAGCCGACCUUGAAAUACCACCCUUUAAUGUUUGAUGUUCUAACGUUGACCCGUAAUCCGGGUUGCGGACAGUGUCUGGUGGGUAGUUUGACUGGGGCGGUCUCCUCCUAAAGAGUAACGGAGGAGCACGAAGGUUGGCUAAUCCUGGUCGGACAUCAGGAGGUUAGUGCAAUGGCAUAAGCCAGCUUGACUGCGAGCGUGACGGCGCGAGCAGGUGCGAAAGCAGGUCAUAGUGAUCCGGUGGUUCUGAAUGGAAGGGCCAUCGCUCAACGGAUAAAAGGUACUCCGGGGAUAACAGGCUGAUACCGCCCAAGAGUUCAUAUCGACGGCGGUGUUUGGCACCUCGAUGUCGGCUCAUCACAUCCUGGGGCUGAAGUAGGUCCCAAGGGUAUGGCUGUUCGCCAUUUAAAGUGGUACGCGAGCUGGGUUUAGAACGUCGUGAGACAGUUCGGUCCCUAUCUGCCGUGGGCGCUGGAGAACUGAGGGGGGCUGCUCCUAGUACGAGAGGACCGGAGUGGACGCAUCACUGGUGUUCGGGUUGUCAUGCCAAUGGCACUGCCCGGUAGCUAAAUGCGGAAGAGAUAAGUGCUGAAAGCAUCUAAGCACGAAACUUGCCCCGAGAUGAGUUCUCCCUGACYCYUURAGRGUCCUGAAGGAACGUUGAAGACGACGACGUUGAUAGGCCGGGUGUGUAAGCGCAGCGAUGCGUUGAGCUAACCGGUACUAAUGAACCGUGAGGCUUAACCUUACAACGCCGAAG
RNAcentral lists this ribosomal RNA (2863 nucleotides) under Escherichia coli. RNAcentral describes it as "partial 23S ribosomal RNA". It matches the Rfam family "Bacterial large subunit ribosomal RNA". The record is from RNAcentral. Lineage: Bacteria; Pseudomonadati; Pseudomonadota; Gammaproteobacteria; Enterobacterales; Enterobacteriaceae.